AGGCCUAACACAUGCAAGUCGAGGGGCAUCACGUCAAGGUGGCGACCGGCGCACGGGUGAGUAACACGUAUGCAACCUGCCGUUUACAGGGGGAUAGGCUUCCGAAAGGGAGAUUAAUACCGCGUAACACAAAUUUCCCGCAUGGGGGAGUUGUCAAAGGCGAAAGCCGGUAAAUGAUGGGCAUGCGCUGGAUUAGGUAGUUGGUGAAGGUAACGGCUCACCAAGCCCGCGAUCCAUAGGGGUACUGAGAGGUAAAACCCCCACACUGGUACUGAGACAGGGACCAGACUCCUACGGGAGGCAGCAGUGAGGAAUAUUGGUCAAUGGUCGGAAGACUGAACCAGCCAAGUCGCGUGAAGGAAGAAGGUAUUCAGUAUUGCAGACUUCUUUUAUACAGGGAUAAAAAGCCAUACGGGUAUGGCAUUGCAGGUACUGUAUGAAUAAGCAUCGGCUAACUCCGUGCCAGCAGCCGCGGUAAUACGGAGGAUGCGAGCGUUAUCCGGAUUUAUUGGGUUUAAAGGGUGCGUAGGUUGCAGCAUAAGUCAGCGGUGAAAAGUAAGGGCUUAACCCUUAUCGUGCCGAUGAAACUGUGCAGCUGGAGAAUACGCGAGGCAGGCGGAAUUCGUAGUGUAGCGGUGAAAUGCAUAGAUAUUACGAAGAACACCGAUAGCGCAGGCAGCUUGCCAGGCUACAACUGACACUGAAGCACGAAAGUGUGGGAAUCAAACAGGAUUAGAUACCCUGGUAGUCCACACAGUAAACGAUGAUUACUCGCUGUUUGCGAUAUACGGUAAGCGGCCAAGCGAAAGCGAUAAGUAAUCCACCUGGGGAGUACGCCGGCAACGGUGAAACUCAAAGGAAUUGACGGGGGCCCGCACAAGCGGAGGAACAUGUGGUUUAAUUCGAUGAUACGCGAGGAACCUUACCCGGGCUCGAACGGCUAUAGAAUAGAUAUGAAAGUAUUUAGCCAGCAAUGGCUGUAGUCGAGGUGCUGCAUGGUUGUCGUCAGCUCGUGCCGUGAGGUGUCGGCUUAAGUGCCAUAACGAGCGCAACCCUUACCAUUAGUUACCAGCAUUGAGAUGGGGACUCUAAUGGGACUGCCACCGUAAGGUGCGAGGAAGGUGGGGAUGACGUCAAAUCAGCACGGCCCUUACGUCCGGGGCGACACACGUGUUACAAUGGGAGGGACAGCAGGCAGCGAGACAGCGAUGUUGAGCGAAUCCUCUAAACCCUCUCCCAGUUCGGAUUGGAGUCUGCAACCCGACUCCAUGAAGCUGGAUUCGCUAG
Molecule: ribosomal RNA, 1287 nt
Filed under: uncultured bacterium
Lineage: Bacteria
Description: bacterial SSU rRNA
Rfam family: Bacterial small subunit ribosomal RNA
Source: RNAcentral